Molecule: long non-coding RNA, 1520 nt
Filed under: Equus caballus (horse)
Lineage: Eukaryota; Metazoa; Chordata; Mammalia; Perissodactyla; Equidae
Description: lncRNA (ENSECAG00000053988.1)
Source: RNAcentral
GAACAGAAAUUCCUCUCUCUCGUCUGUUUCUACAAGGAUUAACCUCUAGAGCCAGCAGUUUGAGCUCAGUAUUGCUUCAUUUUGCUUGCUGUUAAAGAUACAAAUAGAAUUAACUUGUUUAGAUUUUAGAAAAGAAAAGAAAAGAAACUACUCUUUGUUCUCAUAUUAACAUCACCUAUAAAACUGUCAUUUCUCCGGGCUGUUUUUUGGCGUAUGACUUUGCCAUAACUAUCCCUUCAGGCACCUCCAUGGGUGUCAUGUGAACUCUGGCAGAUUUCCGUAUUUGUUAGAACUUCUGGAAGACAUCAUCAAGUAGAAACCUUUCACCUCACUUUCCAACAACUGUCUAGGACCACUUCGCUUCACGUUGACUCCUCAACAUAGCACAUGAGGAUCACCUCCCAGGACGCCACCUCAGCAUGGCCUGACGAGCGGUGCCAUGUGCUCACCCAGGACCCAAACCAGCGAAACCCUGGGCCACCAAAGCGGAGUGCAGGAACUUAAGCACUCAGCCACGGGGCCAGCCCCAGUUGGUCUACUGGAGAUCGCUUACUUAACAAACGGAUAGCACAGCCUCAGAGUCAUCAGAUACAACAUCAAAUUCCAACAUAUUAAAAAAGGAAAGAAUACAUGUGACGGAAAUUACCUUUGCUUACAAAAACUUGUUACAUACAAUCUGCAUAUUUUUAUUGGACCAAGAACUGUACUCUCCAUUUACAAAACCCAGAGAGAAACCUGCUAAAGCAAAGCAAAUUGAGUCUGCAGUUUUCACCAAGAGGUUGAAGGACUCUUCCACGCCAAGAGCAGUGCUCCUGACGAUGAAGACGUGGAGAGGGUGCGGAGGGUGGCUGAGCACUGCAUUAAAAAAAGGAAGACAUCCUGCAAUAUGCGACAACGUUGAUGAAGGGGGACGUGAUGCUCAGUGAAAUAAUCCAGUCACAGAAGCACAAAGGCUGCGUGAUUCCACGUGUAUGAUGCUUUCCUCAAGGUGUCAGGAAGCCCUUGCCUCUGUGCCUUUCUCACUUAUAAGGUUCUUCUGACGUUCAAAUAUGAUGGCAUCUCUGGUCUCACAGCCUGUCUGCCAUCAUGCUUUGUUUUAUGGGAAAAUAGCCCUUCGUGCCUGGCUCGUCCGUGAAAGAACAUGGAUUGUUCCUGAAGGAAACCAGAAUACGUGACCCCAAAAUAUGCCACCUUGACACAGUGGUUAAUUUGCAUUAAAGGCACUUGAGAAACAGUUGGUGCAAGAAGGCCACUCUGACGCCCCUUUGUCCUCCUGCGACUUCCCUGCGGCAUGUCCCCUCCCAGUGCCGGGACAAGGGAGGCAUCCUCACCGCCAGACACAGGGACUGGGGCCGAGGAAUCUGUGCAAACGAACCUUGCGAAACUCACCCUUAGCUGCCCAGUUCCAUCCUCAUGAUUUACUGCCCCAACCCAAACUCCUUUGUCUUGCCAAUUUUUCACAAAUUUCUUGUUUCUUUGUCUAAAAGAUAUAAAAGCUUCCUGCUCUGGUUGAGUUUUGU